UCGUCACACUAUCAUUAACUGAAUCCAUAGGUUAAUGAGGCGAACCGGGGGAACUGAAACAUCUAAGUACCCCGAGGAAAAGAAAUCAACCGAGAUUCCCCCAGUAGCGGCGAGCGAACGGGGAGGAGCCCAGAGCCUGAAUCAGCAUGUGUGUUAGUGGAAGCGUCUGGAAAGGCGCGCGAUACAGGGUGACAGCCCCGUACACAAAAGCGCAUGUGCUGUGAGCUCGAUGAGUAGGGCGGGACACGUGGUAUCCUGUCUGAAUAUGGGGGGACCAUCCUCCAAGGCUAAAUACUCCUGACUGACCGAUAGUGAACCAGUACCGUGAGGGAAAGGCGAAAAGAACCCCGGCGAGGGGAGUGAAAAAGAACCUGAAACCGUGU
This 383-nucleotide ribosomal RNA is filed under the name Salmonella enterica subsp. enterica serovar Bareilly. RNAcentral describes it as "partial 23S ribosomal RNA". It matches the Rfam family "Bacterial large subunit ribosomal RNA", at positions 140 to 561 of the family's 2925-position model. Lineage: Bacteria; Pseudomonadati; Pseudomonadota; Gammaproteobacteria; Enterobacterales; Enterobacteriaceae. RNAcentral also lists the same sequence under 1 other name. The record is from RNAcentral.